This 320-nucleotide ribosomal RNA is filed under the name uncultured bacterium. RNAcentral's name for it is "bacterial SSU rRNA". It matches the Rfam family "Bacterial small subunit ribosomal RNA", at positions 28 to 334 of the family's 1533-position model. The record is from RNAcentral.
GACGAACGCUGGCGGCGUGCCUAACACAUGCAAGUCGAGCGGGAAUUUACAAAUUGAAGCUUCGGCCGAUUUUGUAAAGGAUAGCGGCGGACGGGUGAGUAACGCGUGAGUAACCUGCCCUUAAGAGGGGAUAACACACCGAAAGGUGUGCUAAUACCGCAUAAUGUGCUUUACCGCAUGGUAGAAGUACCAAAGAUUUAUCGCUUAAGGAUGGACUCGCGUCUGAUUAGAUAGUUGGUGAGGUAACGGCUCACCAAGUCGACGAUCAGUAGCCGAGCUGAGAGGUUGAUCGGCCACAUUGGGACUGAGACACGGCCCAG